This 493-nucleotide ribosomal RNA is filed under the name uncultured bacterium. Its description in RNAcentral is "bacterial SSU rRNA". It matches the Rfam family "Bacterial small subunit ribosomal RNA", at positions 28 to 526 of the family's 1533-position model. The record is from RNAcentral.
GACGAACGCUGGCGGCGUGCUUAACACAUGCAAGUCGAACGAUGAAGCCCAGCUUGCUGGGUGGAUUAGUGGCGAACGGGUGAGUAACACGUGAGUAACCUGCCCUGGACUCUGGGAUAAGCGUUGGAAACGACGUCUAAUACCGGAUAGGACCUUUGACCGCAUGGUUGGGGGUGGAAAGUUUUUUCGGUCUGGGAUGGACUCGCGGCCUAUCAGCUUGUUGGUGAGGUAAUGGCUCACCAAGGCGUCGACGGGUAGCCGGCCUGAGAGGGUGACCGGCCACACUGGGACUGAGACACGGCCCAGACUCCUACGGGAGGCAGCAGUGGGGAAUAUUGCACAAUGGGCGAAAGCCUGAUGCAGCAACGCCGCGUGCGGGAUGACGGCCUUCGGGUUGUAAACCGCUUUUAGUAAGGAAGAAGGGGAGCUUGCUCCUUGACGGUACUUGCAGAAAAAGGACCGGCUAACUACGUGCCAGCCGCCGCCGUAACAC